GCGAGUGAAGCGGGAAGAGCUCAAAUUUGAAAUCUGGCAGUCUUCGAUUGUCCGAGUUGUAAUCUAUAGAGGCGUUUUCCGUGCCGGACCGUGUCCAAGUCUCCUGGAAAGGAGUAUCAAAGAGGGUGAUAAUCCCGUACUUAACACGACCACCGGUGCUCUGUGAUACGUCUUCUACGAGUCGAGUUGUUUGGGAAUGCAGCUCAAAAUGGGUGGUGAAUUCCAUCUAAAGCUAAAUAUUGGCGAGAGACCGAUAGCGAACAAGUACCGUGAGGGAAAGAUGAAAAGCACUUUGGAAAGAGAGUUAAACAGUACGUGAAAUUGUUGAAAGGGAAACGAUUGAAGUCAGUCGUGUUCUUUGGAUUCAGCCAGUUCUGCUGGUCUACUUCCUUGGAACGGGUCAACAUCAGUUUUGUCCGGUGGAUAAAGGUAGUAGGAAUGUGACUUCUCCGGAAGUGUUAUAGCCUAUUAUCACAUACACUGGGUGAGACUGAGGACUGCAGCUCGCCUUUAUGGCCGGCCUUCGGGCACGUUCGAGCUUAGGAUGUUGACAUAAUGGCUUUAAACGACCCGUCU
Molecule: ribosomal RNA, 576 nt
Filed under: Trichosporon asahii
Lineage: Eukaryota; Fungi; Basidiomycota; Tremellomycetes; Trichosporonales; Trichosporonaceae
Description: partial large subunit ribosomal RNA
Rfam family: Eukaryotic large subunit ribosomal RNA
Source: RNAcentral